AACUCUCACUUUCUAACCCUGUGCACUUGUUUGGGAUAGUAACUCUCGCAAGAGAGCGAACUCCUAUUCACUUAUAAACACAAAGUCUAUGAAUGUAUUAAAUUUUAUAACAAAAUAAAACUUUCAACAACGGAUCUCUUGGCUCUCGCAUCGAUGAAGAACGCAGCGAAAUGCGAUAAGUAAUGUGAAUUGCAGAAUUCAGUGAAUCAUCGAAUCUUUGAACGCACCUUGCGCUCCAUGGUAUUCCGUGGAGCAUGCCUGUUUGAGUGUCAUGAAUACUUCAACCCUCCUCUUUCUUAAUGAUUGAAGAGGUGUUUGGUUUCUGAGCGCUGCUGGCCUUUACGGUCUAGCUCGUUCGUAAUGCAUUAGCAUCCGCAAUCGAACUUCGGAUUGACUUGGCGUAAUAAACUAUUCGCUGAGGAAUUCUAGUCUUCGGACUAAAGCCGGGUUGGGUUAAAGGAAGCUUCUAAUCA
Molecule: unclassified non-coding RNA, 473 nt
Filed under: Rhodotorula mucilaginosa
Lineage: Eukaryota; Fungi; Basidiomycota; Microbotryomycetes; Sporidiobolales; Sporidiobolaceae
Description: sequence contains ITS1, 5.8S rRNA gene, ITS2
Rfam family: 5.8S ribosomal RNA (bases 119-272)
Source: RNAcentral